Molecule: non-coding RNA, 72 nt
Organism: Heterocephalus glaber (naked mole-rat)
Lineage: Eukaryota; Metazoa; Chordata; Mammalia; Rodentia; Bathyergidae
Source: Rfam
UUUAAAAGGUAGAUUUUCCUUUCAUGGUUACCUGUUUGCUGGUUAAUCAUAAAGGAAAAUCCACGUUUUCAG